RNAcentral lists this ribosomal RNA (400 nucleotides) under uncultured bacterium. RNAcentral's name for it is "bacterial SSU rRNA". It matches the Rfam family "Bacterial small subunit ribosomal RNA", at positions 356 to 773 of the family's 1533-position model. The record is from RNAcentral.
GGGGAAUAUUGGACAAUGGGCGAAAGCCUGAUCCAGCAAUACCGCGUGAAUGAUGAAGGCCUUAGGGUUGUAAAGUUCUUUUAGUUGGAAAGAUAAUGACGGUACCAACAGAAAAAGCCCCGGCUAACUCCGUGCCAGCAGCCGCGGUAAGACGGAGGGGGCUAGCGUUGUUCGGAAUUACUGGGCGUAAAGGGCGCGUAGGCGGAUUAGUAAGUUGGGAGUGAAAGCCCGGGGCUUAACCUCGGAACUGCUUUCAAAACUGCUAGUCUUGAGUGAAGUAGGGGAUGAUGGAAUUCCUAGUGUAGAGGUGAAAUUCUUAGAUAUUAGGAGGAACACCGGUGGCGAAGGCGGUCAUCUGGACUUCAACUGACGCUGAGGCGCGAAAGCGUGGGGAGCAAAC